CAGCAGCCACGGGAAUACGUAGGUGGCAAGCGUUGUCCGGAAUUAUUGGGCGUAAAGCGCGCGCAGGUGGUUUAAUAAGUCUGAUGUGAAAGCCCACGGCUCAACCGUGGAGGGUCAUUGGAAACUGGGAGACUUGAGUGCAGAAGAGGAGAGCGGAAUUCCAUGUGUAGCGGUGAAAUGCGUAGAUAUUGGGAAGAACACCAGUGGCGAAGGCGGCUUUCUGGACGGCAACUGACACUGAGGCUCGAAAGCCAGGGGAGCGAACAGGAUUAGAGACCCCCGUAGUCCCUGUCUCUUAUAC
This 301-nucleotide ribosomal RNA is filed under the name uncultured bacterium. RNAcentral describes it as "partial 16S ribosomal RNA". It matches the Rfam family "Bacterial small subunit ribosomal RNA", at positions 509 to 807 of the family's 1533-position model. The record is from RNAcentral.